GACGAACGCUGGCGGCGUGCUUAACACAUGCAAGUCGUACGGUAAGGCCCUUUCGGGGGUCCACGAGUGGCGCACGGGUGAGUAACACGUGAGUAACCUGCCCACAACUUUGGGAUAACGCUAGGAAACUGGUGCUAAUACUGGAUAUGUGCUCCUGCUGCAUGGUGGGGGUUGGAAAGCUCCGGCGGUUGUGGAUGGACUCGCGGCCUAUCAGCUUGUUGGUGGGGUAGUGGCCUACCAAGGCGGCGACGGGUAGCCGGCCUGAGAGGGUGACCGGCCACAUUGGGACUGAGAUACGGCCCAGACUCCUACGGGAGGCAGCAGUGGGGAAUAUUGCACAAUGGGCGCAAGCCUGAUGCAGCAACGCCGCGUGCGGGAUGACGGCCUUCGGGUUGUAAACCGCUUUCAGCAGGGACGAAGCUUUUUGUGACGGUACCUGCAGAAGAAGCACCGGCUAACUACGUG
This 465-nucleotide ribosomal RNA is filed under the name uncultured bacterium. Its description in RNAcentral is "partial 16S ribosomal RNA". It matches the Rfam family "Bacterial small subunit ribosomal RNA", at positions 28 to 507 of the family's 1533-position model. The record is from RNAcentral.